Molecule: long non-coding RNA, 37093 nt
Filed under: Gossypium barbadense (sea-island cotton)
Lineage: Eukaryota; Viridiplantae; Streptophyta; Magnoliopsida; Malvales; Malvaceae
Description: long non-coding RNA (GBAR_LNC015944)
Source: RNAcentral
GGCGUAGCACCGUUCACGAUAUUAUUGUGUUCGUUGUCGUUGCUUUUAAGCUUGUUAUCACAAGUGGCAGCAACGAUCGCGUCUUUCUGUUUACUAACCAGUCCGGUUCUCCUCUGGCGAGUGCGAACAGUGAACUUUUGUUCUUGCCGGUGUUGGUGUCGGGUUUCGGAAGAAUAUCAAUCGGAUUCGGUUUCGGGUUAGGGUUGACGGAGGCCCGAUCUCUGCGAGCUCGGCUACGCAGCUCAGGCAUCGUAGGGACUACAUUCGUCCAUAAAGGGUAGUAGCUUGGUGAAGAUCCAUGAAGGUUCUAGAAUCAUCGGCCGAUUAAUUUUGAUUACAGGCUUUGAGAGAUAGGAUAUUAACCCAAUAACAAAAAAAAAAUUAGAGAGAGUAGGAAGAUUUUAUUUGAUUAGAACAGAUAAAGAUGGUGAAAUUGGGGUUUGGUAAUGGAAAUUUUGGAGAUCUGUGGAGGGAAAUGAAAGGAAUGGGAUACAACCAGGUGAGAGUGAGACACAAAGAGAAAUGGAGGUGAGAAAUUAGAGAGACAAUGCUUCCUCCUGAUUUUUUUUUCCCUACUGUUGAUUUUAAAUUCAUCUUAAAUUUUCAAUAUUAUGUAUUACUAGCGUGGUCUAAUGAACUUAAUUUUGAAUUGGGAUGGAAAAAAAAUUAUGUAAUGAAAAUAUUUAUUAAAAUUUUAUAUAAAAUUAAUUGAUAUUUUAAUUAUAAUGAUAAAAUUUAUAUAUUUACCAUGCACCAUGUUUUUAGGUUCAAAUCUCAUAUAUUAUCGCAUAAAUAUAAUUUAAUUUAUAUAUGAAAUAAUAUUUUAUUACUUUAAUAAUUAAAUUAUAGUUAAGUGAGGCAUGAUACUAUCUCAAUAAAAUAUUAUAAAUUAUUUAGAAUAAAUUUAUCUGUGUAGACAAAAAAAAUUUAUGGAAGUUAAGUUUCGUUUUAUUUAUUUAAAUUUGAUUUUAAUGAAUUAAUAUAAAAUUUAAUAUUUUGAUUUUUUUUGGCAGGCUGGUUUUUAUUUAUUUUCUUAAUUUAUAUAUAAUUUGUGGAUUAUUUUCAGAAUCGAAUUAUAUUAGUCAAAUCGAUAAAUGAUUGGGAUGUUAGUUUAGAAUAAAGGAUUAGAUUAAUUUAUUUGUAAAUUGAUUGAAUCAGUGGAUUAAAUCAGUCAAACCGGUCAAUAGAACUAAUUGAACUGAUGGUCAAACCAGUUGAAUUGAUUUUCUAUGAAACUCUAAACUAUUUGAAUAUCAAUUCAAUCCUAAAAAUGGUGUUUCUUCAAUAGAAGGAAAUAUUAAAAUUAUAUAUAUAUAUUAAAGAUUUGGUGUAUUCGUAAAUGAAAGUUUGAGAAAAGUCUAAAGGUUAUGUAAGAUAGUUGGAAAAUUUCACCUUCCCUACUGUCCUGACUCAAGGUCCGCUAUUGGCUUUACAUCCUCUAGACCUAGUCCAAGUUGUAGGCUUGAGAUUUUACCAUAUAUAUAUCAAAAUUAUUUUAAAUAUUCUAAAAAUAAUUUGUUAUUAUAAAAGAAUGAUAUUUAAUACAUUAAUUGUGCAUAAUUAUGAAGGGUAAAAGAUUUUGUUUUUCAUUGUAUUUCACAAUCAAAUACGAUAAAUCAACAUGAGCAACAAAUUAAAACAGCUCACCACAAUAGAAUUUAUUAUAGUGACAGUUAUCAUAUUUAUUCAAAAUAAAAAAUUCACAAACACAUCCAACCAUUUAACAUGUUUCUUUUUCCAAUUCAAAUCUCUUUCAUUUUUCAUUAUUUAAUCGUGAUAAAAAUCACUGUUUUAGUCUUAUAGAAUUUAAUCGUGAAAGUAUAAAUUAUUAAGACACCUUGACAUUUAUUUAUUUUUUAUCAUUUUAUUUUAAUUUAUUUUUUAAUCACAUUAGUCCUUGGAUAUCAAUCUCAGUCAAUUUCUUUUUUUUUUAGAAACGAAAAUUGAACAGAAUUAGUAAAAUUUUAUAUCAUAGUUUACAUAAUAAUCUAUGUAUACUUGGUAGAUAGUUUUUAGAAAUUAUGAACUUACUACCAAAUGAGCUGUUGCCAAAAUACGAAAACAAACUCAAAUGUUUAAAAAGUAAUAUAAAUUUUAUCCAUCAAUAGAGAAAACUCGUACAAGCAGAGAAGAUAACAUCAAAUCAAGGAGCAUAUUGCAUCUGCAGUCCAGCACAGCAUACUAUAUAUGCUUAUCCCCAAGUUCUUCAACCCUUUAUUCCACUACCUAAGCCCCAUAUUUCAGCCAAAACAUUGGCCCUCGCCAAAUUCUCUCUUCUAUCCGAUCAGGUAUUAAGCCACUAAUAUUUCUACCCUAACAAGCCUAGUGCACAUCAUACAGCCCAUUUUGCUGCCAUAGCAAUUUUAGUAUCGUUUUCACAUGUGUCAUAUACAUCCGCUACAUGAAAUAUUCUUUUUGCCUACAUAAGCCAGAAGUAGCACAUGUCUUGCACAGAAUUUAUUCUAUCAGGAUAGACAAGCAAAGAAUUAUAGUUUAUGGAUAAAUCAGAAAUACAACCAUAAAAAAUGAAACAAACCACUAGAUUAAUAUUGAUUAUACACGGUUACAAAUUUCACUAUAAAACCAGAUCAACAAACGUGAGCUUUUAAAUUUUACUAAAACAUCUACUUGUUCUUUCAAGUGCGAUGUUCUAACAUUAGUUUUGAGAAAGGAAAAAAAAAACACUUGAGAUGGCGUCCUGCAAGAUCAUUCACCAGAUAUGAUCAAUAUUUUCGGCUAUGGUGCCUAAUCGCUUCUCCAUCCAGUUGAUUAUAUCCUGCCCUAUCUCUUCACGCUCGGGUUCAAAGAGAAGAUCAUGCAAGAAGCCUUCAUAGAGCUUUAUGUCUUUGAAGGUGGAGGAUGCCUCGUUGUAGAAAUCCUGGGAGGCGAGUGGAUCAGUGACUUUGUCUGCAGUCCCAUGCAGAACAAAGAAUGGGACUGUCACGGACUUAAAGUUCCGCAUCAAAUAAGAGGAAAUGCGCAAUAUCUCAUGCCCAGUUCGGGCCCUUAUUGGACCAGUGUAGACCAAGGGAUCAGAGUACUUGGCCAAGAGUGCGGCAGGGUCCCUUGAAACUGGGAUGCCCUUCUUGUUCGCACCUUUAAACUGGAGCUUAGGAGCAACCAGAGAAAAAAGAGGAGCAAUAGCCUGCAUAAAAACACCAUAUAUAUUUAUAUUUUAUAUAUAGAAAUUAAAAUAAAAAAUCAUGGAGGAAAAAAGUGGCAAUUCAUCAUAUCUGUUUCAAUCAGUACUAAAAUACCAAUUUGACGGGAUACAAGGAGGAUACAUACGAAUAUUGAGUUAAACCACAACCAAUUUUAUUCUUUAUAAUAUGUAAUUGAUAUUACACAGUAGCAAAAUGGUUAUACAAAACCAAAGCAACUCACAAAUCUCAACCACAAUAGUUAGAUGACAUGAUAGGGCAAAACCAUGAAAACAAUAUUCAAACUAAAACCAGACGAGCAGUCUCUAAAAGGAAUUAACACCUCCUAAAUACCUUUAUCUGCACAGAUCUUUCGCUUGACAGAAUAUAGACGUUUGAAAAGAACUAAGAAAUCGAUCACAAGAAGAAAGCCCGCAUAAAUGAAAGUGAUAUUAAAAAUAUUCCUUAGUUAAAUUAUUAAACCAAUAAUGGGUGAUUGGUUGGUCGAAGCACAUUUAACUUUUAACACUAAAGUUAAAGAAAUAAAAUUCGGAGGCAACUACAGCCUGAUUUAGCACGGUACAAAUAUAGAAUAAGAAGCAGCAACUUACCCCAACAAUUGGAUGUGCUGGUUUAACAUGCAAAGCUGGAGAGGUCAGCACAACUCCCUCCAGCAUUCCUUCAAUACGAGGAUGGGAAGCUGCCUGGUAAAUCACACCUUAUUUAAUUAAAAAGGUUCGGCAGAUAAUUCAGUUAAAGCAAUCGGCAGAUGUGAUACCUUCAAAACCACAGCUCCACCGGUAGAGUGACCAAAAAGGAAGCAAGGUACACCUGGGUUCUCUGAUUUGAUCUUUUCCAAGAAAGCCCCCUGGAAGUAGAGAGAAAAACUUAGCACCUUCUUGCAGGCAUAUUUUGAAUAAAGCCAAAGACUUCCAAGUUAUGGUUUUAGUUAUUUGUCACUGACCAGUAGUCAAGAUAGUAAACUUCAAAUUGUUAAUGGUUAAAAUGUUUUAUCAUCACAAGAGCAAUAGGGUUAUCCAAUUAAAUGUUAAAUGAGAAAGUAAUCAGAAAGAGUUAAUUUCAAUUGCACAUUAAAAGAAAUACAGAUAAUUAAACUACUUACAGUGUCUGCAACAACAUGAUCAAGUGAAGGAACAUAUCCAUGCAAUCCAUCACUGCCACCAUGACCUAUAGCAAUGAAGUUUUUCUCAUUACCACAACUUAAAAUCAAUACUCUUGAAUAGAUUUUUGCAAAACAAAAACAAAUGCAGAAAUACUUGUGUCAGAUUAUGUACCUAUCCAGUCCAUUGCAUAUACACCAAAGUUGCAAGAGAUUAGUUGCUUUGCAAAUUGAGCAUAUCUUCCACUGGAAAUGAACACCACAAAAACAGAGUGAAAAAUGAGGAAAUUCAUUUCCAAUGGGAUAAAAAACUGAGAUCUUCGUAGGCUUGAUUUAGAAACUAGUGUUACCUGUGCUCAUUCAGCCCGUGUAUAAUGAUCAAAAUUCCCCUAAAAGCACAGACAAGCAAGCAGUUAGGAGACGAGAGAGUAAAGCAAUGGAAUGAAGGCAGCCAUAUAAUAAAAGUAAAGAACAAAAGUAGAGGCUACUGCCUAGCAUGAUGCUACAGACAAACUAACAGCAAAGCGUUAUUUGUACAUCAACCCAAAAAGAAUGUAAUUGCUGAAGAAAGCAAAGCAUCAUUCCACCGAACUUAUACUAAAAUUCAAAAUCUUGAUCCACUCGAAUUAGCGUUCUAAAUAUAGGAAAUUGAAAAUAAGUUGAUUUGUGUAAAGACUCUACUAUUCUCGGGUCAUAAGCAAUUCAAAAGUUAGUAACUUAAGUUCAUAAUUAAGCACACAAAUUAAAAAGAAAAAUAAAGAACGUCGAUAAAAAAGAAGACUACCGCUUACUUUAGUUCACCGGUAGCCGGAAGCCAAGACCGGCUAAACAAGGCAUUUCUUCGAACGCCAAAGAACAGAGAUGUGUUCCAGCGGUACUGAAUCUCUCCGUCCUCGGUUUCGAACCCCAUGUUCAAACCCUCCGCCAACGAUCUCCUUCUUAAGGUGUCCUCCUCUUCUAGCCUCCAUAACGAUUUCCGCCUCGCCGUUUUAGCCGGAGAUUGCGGCCCGGAAGCAGCACCGUCAACCGCCGCAACAUCCGUCCGAAAUUGCCGGCGCCGAGGGAAGAGUAGGAUGAGGAUGUACAAGAUUACUGAUUGAAUGAAAAUCAGAGGAGUUCUUAGGGUUUUUAAGAUCGGGAUUAUCCGAUUGCUUGCUCCCGAUGUCAAUGGCUCCAUCUCCCCAGCCGUUGACAUGACAGAGAUGGCAAAAAAUCAAAUUAAAAAAAUGAAAAAAUAAAACCAAAACUAAAAAUAUAUGGAUAUGGAAAUAAGGAGAGGAAACAAAGGAAAAAAAGAGGUAAAAUUUUACAGGCCAGGGGCAAUUUGGCUGGAAUAUUUAUAAAGCGCGGGCAGGUUUCGGACAAGGAAACCAGGGGGGGGGAAAGAAAGAUCAAAGUAACGGCUGAGGUGACGUGGAAUGUUUGAUGGAGUGGGGGAAAUGAUUUUCAAUCUUGGAAGUAGGAUGGACGGCGAUGAUGGAGUGAGAUGUAUAGCGUGCUUCGACAUUUGGGUGUAGGAGAGUUUGAUUCUUCAUAGUUGAAAUUAGGAGAAGGAACAGUGAAGCUUACGCUAAGCAACAGAAAUUGAAAGAAACUCUACGCGUAGCCAGCCUCGCAGCUCGGCUUCCAAGCGCCAGAGUCAUGUUUUUAACUGUUUCUCCUUUGUGCGAAUAAUUAGACGAGAGACUGGUUAUCAACUCGACGACUCCCCCCCCCCUCCCCACUUUAUUUUUGUUCAUAGGAACAAAAAUGAAAAAUAAAAAUGUGGAGGAAAAAUAUAAAGCUCAAUAAUUUAUCACAAAUUUUAUAGAAUAUUAGGUAAAAUAAAAGUGUUUUUAAAUUCUGUCAUUAAUAUGAAAAUUAUUAAGUUUAUUAUAUAAUUAUAGUAAAAAUAAUUCGAUCUAGAAUUCAACUCGAUAAUUUUUUUUAUUUAAAUAUUUCUUAAAAUUUAUCUCUAGAGGGGAGACGAGACUACAGAAAAGUUACUGGAUUGUCUUCUUCUUCUCUAUUUCUUCACCAUCUUUUUUUUUUUUCACUUUCGUAUCAGAUACCGUGUAACAACUAAGUUAGUCUUAUACUUUUCAAAUUUUAAAAUAUCAAUUCUCGUCAAGUAAUAACAGUAAGUUCAUUAAAUUUUAUUAUUAAUAUGAUGAGGUAAAUAUAUUAUUGUAUGUCUAAUGCGUUGUUAACUUAUUAUUUUACAUUUUACUCGUUAAAAAUCUAAUUAAUAGAUUAACGACUAUCAUUUGUAUCAAUAUUAAAAUUUUAAACUUCAGAAAAAAUAGAGAAUUAGACUGAAUUCAAUUGUAGAAUAUAUACUAAAUAUACAAUUAUAGGCAUAAUAUAAUAUUAAUAGUUGAAUUUAAUUAAACAAAUUAAUAUAAUAUUAAUAAAUUUAAAAAGUAAAAAUUAAAAUUCAUCAGAUUAAAAUCUACAAAUUUCAUUAAAUCAAAAUUUAACCUAAAAGUUUUUGAGAGAAAGGAGAAAGUAUUUCUUUUGGUAAAUGAAGUUUACAUUUUUUCUAAAACUAUUUACUUAACUCAAUAGAAUUAAUCAAAACUAAAUAUAUAUUUUCCAUCAAAAUAUUAAAAAGUUUUGACUCGCAUAGCGGGCGUACUUCAGCCUUCAAGUGUAUAUUAUAAUCCGCAUUUGCCGGGUCGUACUAUUUGUCGGGUCGGUGAACCAAAAAGGUGACCGCCCUUUAAAUAGCCCCGCCAAACUAAUUAAAACCAUUAAUUUUGAGCAGCGAAAGGGAAGCCAGCCAAUAGCGCCAAGCGGAUAAAAGUCUCGACGAGCUGAGAAAUGAGAAUCAAGGAAGCAUCGAUGAGACCGUAACCCCCCACGACCUAUUUUCCUAGCCUCGAAUUCCUCGUCAUUACCGUCACUGAGAUUCUUACACGUGUCACAUUUUCAUAGUUGUUAUCCUUUUAAGUUUAUGGGUAAAUUAUGUUAGUAGUCACUCAAUUAUUAGUAUUUUUUUGUCACAUAAUUAUGAAAAGUUACAAAAUAUCAUUUAAUUAUUAGUAAAUUUUUUUGUCACCCAAUUAUGAAAGUUUAAAAAUAGUCAACCAACUAUUUAAUUUCGUCUUUUUUAUCAUCAAUUGGCAAACAGUGGUAGCUUUUUAAAAUUGGCAUAGUAACAAUUUUAACCCUCAACAUUUGUAUAUUGUGUCAAUUUAAUCUUGAUUCUAAAAUAUUUAACCCUUAAUAUACAUUGUGUAAUUUGGUCAUUUUUGUAAAUUUACUUUUCCAUGUGACCCAUUUCACUUAAAAAGCCAAAAAAAGACAAAUUUAUCAACUAAAUUUAAUUGAAAAUAUACAAAAAGAAAAAUAAGAGACCCAAAAUUCCGAAAUAAUAACUUUCGGCUUUUCUAAUUCUUUUAAAUUUAUCCCUCGAUGUCACAAAUAAAAAUAAAACUGAAAAAAAAGUACAAAAUGUGUAAAUGUGGAGUGUUAACUCUUUUUAGAAUCGAGACUAAAUUAAUAAUGAUUACAAAUGUUGAGGAUUAAAGUUGCUAUUGUGUCAAAUUUAACGACUAUCAUUGUUGGCUAACAGAUGACAAAAAAGAAAAAAAAAUUGAAUAGUUGGUUAAUCAUUUUAUAAAUUUUCAUAGUUGGGUGAUCAAAAGAAUACUAAUAAUUGAGCGACUGUUUAUUAACUUUUCAUAGUUAAGUGAUAAAAACAAAAUAUUAAUAUUUGUGUGACUACUAAUAAUUUACUCUUAAGUUUAUUUCAUCUAUUAGCUAAAUUAUUUUAUUUUAUUUGUAUCUGUUUAUUUUUAUUAUGACUCCUCGAAUUUCUAAGUCAAAAUUAAAGAUGAGUUCAUUGAACUUCGCACUCAUUUAAUUAUUUAGUUAUUGAAAUAGUAGUAAUGUGAACUAAAUUAACAUUUAAUCAUUAAAUAAUUAAUAAUAAACAAAUUAUUAGCAUCGUUUAUUAUAACAAAGACAUAAAUCCAAAUACAUUUAAACUAGUAAUAUUAUUCUUUACUUGUAAUGAUUUUCAUGCCUAAUACUUGUAAUGAUAAAUGACUUAAUUUUAAAAUAUUUUAUUAAUAUAAAAAUUUAAACGAGAUGACAAGGGUUUCUCUUAUCUUAAUUAAUGGUUGAGGGUUUAAUUAUUGCCUUAGAUAUGGAGUAGAUUUAAAACUCGUGAUCAACAUCUUAAUAAGCUUAUAGAACGCGGAAGAUUAAUUACUAAGCUUAAUCCUAUAAAUAUCUUAAGGGAAAAAAAAAUCAAAUUCAAACAUCAACAAUCUGAUAUUUCAUUUUAUUAUUGUUAUCAUUUGUCAUGUCCUUUACUUCUUUUUUCCUUUCGCUUUUCGUCGUAUUUGUCACGUCCUUUUCACGUUAACAUCGUGGCGGUUUCUCAUAUACUUAUCUUAUCCACUUUUUCUUUCUUUCCUUUUUAAUGGCUUUUUGGUAACAAAUAUUAUUUUCUUGAAUUUUGGUAACAAAUAAUAUUAAACAAAUUAACAGUAUAAAAUUUAAAAAAAUUAAUAUUUUAAUAGCUUAAAUAAAUUUUUUUGAAUAAUUCAAUGUUUUAAAUGAAAACUUUUAAAUAGGUUAAUUAUUAAAUUGUGUUUGUUUUUAGUUAAACAACCAAAAUAAAAGUUUAUACAUAAUUUAAUGAGUAAUAAUAUAACUUACACUUAAUUUAAUGUAAAAGAAAUAUUAAGGGUUUUAACUAACAAAAGAAAUAUCUAAAACAAUGAUUACAUGAUUGAUUAAGUUUGUGUUACGAGAUAAUUUGACAUUCACUUUAUCAAUAAAAUUACUUAAAAGUUAUUUUUAAUAAAGUAAUAAAUAUUAAUAUGAUGAUGCUUUUUGUCUUUUAUUAUGUUUAAAAUAAUAUUUAAAAGUAACAACUAAAAACUAAUUAUAUGGUCAUUCCUAAUAUAUAUAUCUAGCUCUCACUUUUUUUUUUUAUUAAGGUAAUACGAGAUUGUUAUAUUUUAGUAGUCAUGCAUGACGAAUUGGGGACGAUCUCUACCGAGAAUAUAACAUGGAGGGCCAUCCGUGAGUGCUUGCUAAACAAAUUUUCAUGUCACUAUGUGCCAAGCCGGGGUAGGAGUAUAAUAAGCUCAACUAUACAUUAAAUAUGGAUUUAAUUUAUAUAUUUUUAUUUUUCAAGUCUAUUUUAUGAUUUAUAUUCGAGGUUUAUAAACGUUUUCUUUAAACAAUGCCGCAUCUAAGGUUUGAACAUAUAUGUUCUCAUCGAAAAUGCAAUAUGUAUUAUCAUUGUACCCAACACUUAUUUGUUAAUCUAUAUAUUAUUUACACAAUAUACCUACUAUAAUAAAAUAUAUAAUUAAUUUAUUGUCUUGAAUUAAGCGAUAUAAACUCAAUAAAAGAAAUUAAAAUACAAAUUUUUAUAAUAUUAUAAAACUUUUUUGUGUUUUAUUUAUUUAUAUAAUAAUUAGAAAAACUUAAAUUUAAAUUUCAGUAUUCAUUUCAACUAUAUAAAUACCUAAUUUAAUUUAAAAAAAUCAUUACCUUUUCAAGAAAAUGUUAUUAUAUUAAUUUUGGAAAAAAAAUGAUAAAUUGUUUUCUAUCUAUUAAAAUUGAAAGAUGGGCUUGCAACGGUAUGAACGGCAAUAGUUUGUCGGCUCAUAAUAUUGAAUAAACAUGGACCAUCAAGUAGGGUUUUAAGCAAAUUAAUGGUCCAUUUGGACCAUCAUCUAGAAACUUAUGGGCUUAACGAUUUUAUAUUUGGGCGUUAAAACGAUAUGCCUGUAUGGUUUUCAUUAUUUUAAGAUUUUGGAUAAAAACCCAACCCAAUACCUUAUGCUUUGAACGGAAGAUAAUGGGCUUUCACAAAUAUUAAAGCCUUGUCCCCCACUGUAUUCCAUCACAUAAAAAAGAAGAGACGUAAAUGUUAGUAUUAUUAUUUUUAUUUUUAAGCAUAAAGUAAUUAAUUUUAAAAUUUAAAUUUAUAAAUAACAUUUAAGUGGACCUUAGUCUUGGUCUAAAAUAGGGACCAAAGUUUUUUUACUGGGGAGAUGGUAUUCAUGAUUGGGCUCUAUAAUUGCUUGCUGCCUGGUCGACGAUUCUCAAACCCCUAAAAUUUGUUGUGUAAAAUUAAGCAAAGUAAGGCUUAGGUGUUGCAAAAUCUCACAUUGAACGUAAACACCACACGUGCGAUAGACUCAACUUUAGGGUUUAAAAGCGUGAAUGAUGGACCGACCUUUCCAAAAAUACUUUGAAUUUUUUAGUCAUUUCAUUGGACCAUUCUCCUAAAUCUUCAAAAUCUUUGAAGUGUUUGUUCACCGUGAAAACGACAUUAAUUAAGCUUACUAUUUGGGCUUUUUGCCCUUAAAGUACACCUUUAAUUGAAGGAAAGAACGAAAAGGUCCAUUACAACCUAUCUCUUUCAUGCACAUACCUUAUCAAUUAAUGAAAAUAAAUCCAAAUUUAAAUGAUAAAAAAGAAAGUAUCGAUACGAGGGAGGUUCUUUUUGUUGCAAUUACUGUUGCUAAAGGUUGAUAAUUUAGGAGACAAGUUAAAAGGUUGGUCGGUUAAAGCUUUAUUAAUGUCAUGUUGGGGAACGUGACGUGACGUGAUUGGCUACUAGGAUAUCAGAGGAUCGCAAAAGACACUAAGUACUAAUAUAUGUAUGUCAAUUGCUGUAAUUAAGGGCGUUCAAUUUAUUAGGUUUAGUUUCGAUAUAAAAAAUAAGUAAUAAAUAUAUUUAUUAAAAGUUUAUAUAAAAAUUAAAUAAAAUUUUGAUUGAAAUGAUAAAAUAUUUUAUUGGUUGAAUUCUUAUUAUGAUUGAAUUUUAGUGAUUUUUUUUAUAAAGCGUAAAAAGAUUAAAAAAAAACACAUUCAUAAUAAUUAAAUUAUUUUGUGCUUGGUUGACUAAGUAUAAGUAUAAAUAAUUAUAACAAAAAAUUUAUAUGAUUUAAUAAAUGAAGUAUUGUGGAGAUAUUGAUUUUAAAUAUUUAAAUUCGGAACUCACCGUGUAUAUUGUAAUGUGUAAGCAUUAAUUCAAUUAAUCCAAUUCACAAUAUUGUAUAACACUUUAAAAAAAAUUAUUUAAAAUUUAUAUUAAAAAAUUAACAUUUACAAUCUAAUAUCAAUUUUCAUUAUUAUUUUUUUCUGGUGAAAAAAGAAUUCGUUCAUGUUCCAUUUUCAACUUAAAUCAGGAACUUGGAAAGGUUUCGUUAAUGGGAUUCAUGUGCAAAGCUAACUCAGUAUUUCUUUUUUCAAAUUUUUUUGAAUGAAGAACAAAAUUGAAGAAGAUUUAGAAGAUAAAGUGUUAUGGGCAGUGGUUUUCAGCUGCCAUGUGAGCCUCAAAUUGGCUGAUCACCGACCCUAAUAAUCCCACGUUAUAAUCUCAGUGGACCCUUUGCGCCCGACAUUUGUGAUCACCCUCUAUAUUAAAUCUAUUCUUUAUAAAAGAAAGUGGGAUAUUCAAGUUAGCCCAAAAGCAAUACAUAUAUACUAAAGUUUCGAACUUAUUGAUCACUCUCUGGACCACUAACAAGAACACGAAACCCUAAAAUAAAAAUUUGCAAAAGAGGAGAUUCAGACCCUUAUUCAAGGGAUACGGGUCGGCUCCACGUCAUGCAUGCUUCAUUCGAUGAAUUGUGGGGAAAUAUAUUUAAGAAAUAGAUAAAGAAAGAAAGAAAGAAUUAUAUGAUGUAAGUACAAAUUGAAAAGCACUAAAACUAGUUUAUUGUUUAUAAUGCUCUUUUACAGCAUGUUAGUAUAAAUCAACUUUUUAAUGUUAUCUUACAAAGAGAAUAUUGAACUGAAUUAGGCAUUUGAUUUGAUCAUCCCACCUUCUAAACCCCCAAAACAGAUAAAUUAUUUUAGUAUAAUAAAUUUGAUUAGGUUCUAGAUGUACAGGAGUUCCACUAGGAACAUAAUGUGGUUUUGUAUCUUUGCUAUUUAUUUAAAAAUUUGUGUUAUGAUUUAAUUUCGCAUGAAUUCGAUUAAUAAAUUAUUAUUUUUUAAAACAAAAGUUAUAUUUGAAGAGAAAAAUCUUAAAAUUAUAUAUGAGUUACGGUUUAAUGUGUAAUUGUACACGUGAACUUUAAUUUAGUACAAUUUUAUACAUGAAUUUUUUAUUUGAUUAAAUUCUUAUAAAUUAUUAACACAAUUAUUGAUAUAACAUCAUUUUAUAUUUAUAGAUUGUAAAAAUACAUAAUUAUAUUUAUUCAAUGUGUAUUUAUUUCUUUAAAUGUGUAUGAUUAAAUCAAAAUUAAAGUUUUAAGUGUACAUUUGAACACAACUAGAGUUUUGUGUGUAUAUUUGCACCAAAUUAAAAUUAAUGUAUAUAAUUGCAUAUUAAAUCAAAAUUCAUAUAUAAAAUUGAGAUUUAUUCCUAUAUUAAAAAACACUAAAAAUACUAUAAAAAUGAUCCUUUAAAAGAUUUGAAUUUGAUAUAAUAGGUGAACCUUGUCAACACAGUCAAAAUUUAAUUAAAAAAAUUAUUUAUAAUUUUUAUUAUUUUGUAAAUAAUAUUUUUUAAAAAAAAAUUAUAUUAUUUUUUAUUUCUUUCACCUAUAUCGGGUGUACCAUAAAAUUAGUAUAUAUAUGUUUUUCACAUAAAUAUGUUUUAUAAUCAAAUUUAAAAAGAUAUAUAUUUGAUUUAUUAUAAAGUGUCAUGUAUCACAAAAUGAUACUAUUAAGAUAUCAGUUAGAUAAUAAAAUAUAAUUCGGAUAAUAAAAAAAUUAAGUACCAUAAAAAUAUAUUAAAUUUAACUUAAAUCCAUGUUUAUAAAAGAUAAUAAAUAUUGAAGGAAUUAGAAUGAAUAUCAUUAUUAAUUCAGGCAAUUAGUGGUCAUGGAUUACUCGUGCAGCUCGUGUCCAUUCAAGUAGUGGGAUUCAUCACACUUACACGCACCAAUAAACUAAAGCAAAAUAUGUAAAUGAUCUCUUCUCUUUGAUAUCUUGUACACAACAUAUUAUUAAAUAUAAAAAUAUAUAAAGGUGGGUGUUAAGAAGAGUUCUAGAUUCUUCAAUCAUAUCUCAUUUUAAGAAAAUAAUAUAGUGGAACCAUUUUUUUACACAUAACGACACAAUUUUAUAGUACCAUAUUUGUACAACAUUCAUAUUUGUUAACCAAAAUCCAAGUAUAUGUGCGAUCCCUAUGGUUGUCAACAACUAUUUUGGACUAUAUAAUAAAGGACAGUGCUAUAAGCACUCAAAUAAUGCAUCGUUUGGGAUAAAAAAAAAAAACAUAGUGAAGGUUUAAAUGAAAGUUUUUUUCUUAUAAAUUUAAUAUUAAGGUUAAUAUAAUACAGUUAAUCGUAUAUAGUUUUUAUGCAUAGUCAAUUGAUCUCUAUCCAAACAAUUGAUUUGGAUCCAACUUGUUCCUUUGAUAGGGCAGUUUUGUUUGGAUUUAUUUGGUUUAUUCGGCUUUGAUAUUAAAAGUUAGAUCUGUUAUUGACUACAUCAACCUCUAACACCAAUUUUUGUAAUAUGCAUUGAUAAUGAUAGUAAAACGAUCGGAAAACAAUAAAAAAAAAAGAACACAUAUAGAUUUUAUAUAAAAGACUUUCAGGAAAAAACUACUGGUAGAAGAGAAGAAAUUCACUAAUAUUGAAAAACGAAUGAUACAAGAGAAGUAUUGACUACAUCUAUUUAAAAGUCGAAAAAUUUUUAUUUUAAUCAAUGUCAAAUAGAAUAAGUAUAGUUUUAUAUGGAUUUUACUUAUACAGCCCUCGACCUCUUGUCCCGAUAGAUCCCUUUAUUUUACCACUGAAUUUAUUUCUUCAACAAGGAUUCGAGUCACACAAACUCUAACAUCAAUCAAUAAGUCAUGUAUCAAGUUUGGAUCAUCAUCCUAUGAUUUCUACUUUGCCAAGCAGCCUCCAGAUUCGACAUCAGCUCUACAGAGUUCCCAAAGCUGCCAUCACCAAUAUCAAAUAUUAAUUAAACCUACCACACGACGAGAACUUACCAUGAUCAAUGUAUUGCUCGGACCCCUCGGCUCUCUCAGAGUAUCCAGUAUACACAGUCACUUUCGGUCAUCACUGCAUUCACAUAUAACAGAACCACAUCGACGUUUGGUGCUGCCGCUGCAAUCUUGGGUCCAAUUCCUUCAACUCUUUUAAUGGAUUCAUUUUACACGGGAUACACCAAACUCCAUUGCCAGAUGCUCUUAACCAAAUCUAUACUACUAUAAAUCCGACAGUCCUAGCUUGUGCAUAUUCACUCUUUUGUUUGCACCGGAAGUGGACGAAGAUAUUUCAAGAAAGUAAAAAUUUCCAUUCAAAAAUCGGGCCCAUUCAACAGGAUAUAUACUCCUUACAGCGUGGAGUUUUUAUAACCAGCUCACUGUCUCAUCAUCCUAUCCACCCAUCACUCUACAGAUUGGCUUAUCAUGCGGCGUCUACUUAGACCCAUAGGGAUUGGCACUCCUCUAUUAUUACUACUACAUACACCUGAUGCUAAUGUAUGAUACUAUGUUUUUUUUUAUCCAUUUACCCCCAAAAAAUAAAAAGGUUUUUUAAGGGAUAAAUCAAAUUGUUUACUGGUUUGGGAAAUAAAUAUAAUAUCUAUCUAAGAUUAAAGAGCAAAAUUUAAAGAAAAAAUUUCACAUUAGAGAAGUAUCAUAUUGUGUUAUCAGUUGAUAAUUUAUACAUUACUAAUACAUUGUGAAUUAUAUGUAUUAUCUGGAUGAGUACAUACAACAUUUUUUAAUUACUAUAAAAUAGCAAUUAUAUGAUGGGGAAGACGUUCUUUUUUUCUUUUAUCUAAAGUAAAGAAGUUGUUAAACAAAAAAAAAAAAAAACCCAAGGUAAAGGGGUUGUCCAAUGUUGAACUUGUGAGUCUGUGACGUCAUGUCAACAAAGAAUUAAGGUAAAUGAUAACUUAAUUGGUUGAAUAGCAAAAUAUUUCCAUCAAUUUGAACUCUUAAUUAAUAAUAGGAUUACAGUUUGAAUUUGGAUAAUUUGGUCUUCCUUUUUAUAAAAAAUAAGAUAUUUGCUUUUUAGCCACUAAUAAUUUUAAAUAUUCACAUACAUCUUGUUAAUUAGUGAGGUAAAUAAAGAAAAAAGAUGAUGGUAGAGAAAAAGGGGAGGAGAGGUGAAAGUUGAGAGAGAUGUUAUUGUUUAUAGAAAAGCAAGAGAAUUUAGAAAGAAGAAAUGUCUAUGUAAUUACUUGUGAGUUGUUUGUAUGGUCUUUUUAUAGUGGGAUGCAAACUUGAAUACGUGUCUUACGGUCACUCUCACUGACAUAGAAGUCUGAUUUGAUACUCUUAGCAGUGACGAUAGUGACACAUUUUAGGAUGAGGCAUUUUAGGGUGACUAGCAAUCAACUAUCUUGAGCCUCUGCGUCAUCCUUAUAUAGUCUUAAUAAAGAUGUCUCUUUCCAAAGUUCGUUGAGUUAAGGUUUACAAAUUAACCUUGAGUUUGUAAUAUCGUUGGUUCAAUUGAAAGAUACACGUCUAAUUUUCUAUAAGUACACUGUAAGGUCUACAAGGUAUGUUGAGAGUUCAGUGAGGAUGUGAGAUAUAAUACACCCUUAGAUUAAUCAUAUUGUAUACCCAUUAUGUGAGAAAAAAACUUUUGAAGCAAUGAUGAUUUUUUUUAUAGAAUAUAAACAUUUUUAUUAAAAAUAAAUAAAAAUAAAAUGAAAUAAUCACCUUUAUGUAUAUAACAAAUAAUUAGAUUGAUGAAGUAUCAAGAUUUUUUGAAUUAAUGUCAAUUAACUCAUAAUUACUAAAACUCAAUCAACACUUAACUAAUAAUAAUAUAUAGGUAAAUCCAAUCUUAUUGAAGUCAAAGUCUAAAAUUAUAAUGAGCAUAGAAAAUGGAGAAAAAAAGAGAGCAAAGCAUGCAGGGAGGUAUGACAAAGACAACACACUGUAUAUUCCUUCGAGAAAGAAAUGGUGGGGUCUCCCUCAAUCCCAUACCUCCCAUUUCCAGAGAGUAUCGCACGAGCACAACAUUUGUGUACCCUUAGCUACUCCCUUUCCCCACUAUGCUCUCUAUUCUUAUCUACAUCUCUCUUCAGUUUUGUUUAACCCAAUCUCUCUUUUAUCUAUGACUUACCUCUACCUUAUAAUCGUAUUUAAGUAUAUUAUAUAUUAAUUUAUACAUAUUUAUGGUUUCCCCCCCCCCUUUAUUUGUAACUCCUUUCUAUUUGCUUUUUAAUGUGUAAAAGGGGAUGUCCUUUUCUCUCUUUAGGGGGGGGGGUUAAGAGAGAGAGAGAGAGAGAGAGAGAGAGAGGGGAGAAUCCAAGAUAAUAAUGAUAUAAACAGUGAGUCCAAACAAAAAGGGAGGUUGAAGAAAUGUGCUUUAACGUAAGCCAUUUGAUGAUAAUUUUUAUUCCUUUUUCUCUGCCCAGUAUCCCUCUCUACUUUUACUAUACACUCUACAGUUACCAUUGGAAUUGGACACAUUAUUUUCCUUUCCUUCUUUUCUCUUCGUUCACAGUUCACACUUGAUAUGAAUAAAAAAUCAAAGUAUUUAAUAAAUAUAAUAUAAAAAAUAAUACUAAUAAAAAAAUAAAAUUUUAAUUUAAUAAUUCCUGAUGUGAAUUCAAUAAUUUUUUAUUAGAUAUAAAUGCAUCUCAAUUCAUAAUUUCUUCUCACAAACUCUUACAUAACAAAUUAGAUGCGGACACACAGUCUAGUUAAUUACUAGCUUUGAGUGCAUUAAUAAUAAUUUUUAUUCACUCCACGUUUACUUUGCUAGUCAAAGCCUAAUCCAUGGUAUUUCUGAUUAAUAUUAUUAUUAUUAUUAUGACACUGGUUUAAUCUCACUUCAUUGCAUCUUCUUUGGACCCAAAAUUAUAAUUUUGACCAAGAAAGGAUGGGUGGAUUAUUGGCAAUAAUAACACAUCUGCAAGGGCUAAAAACGUGGUUUUACUUUCAUCAAACAUCAAGAUUACACUUGAUUAUAAUGUUGAAAACUCAAUCUGUAAUCUGGGUAUACAAAAUAAUGAAGUUUCAUUAGAAAAAUAUAAAAUAAAAGGGAACAUAAGCAUGCAUAUAAGUGAGCCAGGUCACAUUCUAGUAAACAAUUAAGUUGAAACAUAAAAACAUGAGGUCAUAAAAUUAAAUAUAGAAAAAGGUUAAUCAAAACAAAGCUUUUUCAACGGUUACAGAAAUGAAAUCCCAGUUUCAGUCAAAAGAGCAUAUUGUUGGUAAUAUCCGACAAAAUCAGAGCUUUUUCUUUUUCUUCUUUCCAACAUAUGUCCCUGUUUUCACUUUCAACCGUUCGAUGUUUCAAGGCAAAGUCAAGUUGCAAUCUUGUAAUUAUUUGUUAAUUCAAUGCCCAUUUCCCCAUUACCAUCUAUUUAUACAGUCUCUGAUCAACUCUCUCACCCUACCAUCUUCACUUCAAUAGUUGCAAAAAAGGGGGAAAAAAAUACAUACAUUUUUCUUCUUCUCUGUGGGAAAAUCCCACUAAUAUUUGAAAAUUUCUGUUAUCUAAUGAUUACAUUUAGGUAUCUUACUAUACAUUUCACUCAUAUUUUAUUGUCGUUUAAGAUUUAAAUCUUUCCAUGCAUGUUGUUUUGUUAAUUAGUCUCUCCUUUUGAUUGAAUAUAUAGGUUCAUGCACAUAUAUAAUAUAUGUGAUAAAGUAUAACCUUUUGUUUAAUUGAUAUAUGUAUGUAUGUAUUGAUCAUUUAUUUUUUUGCCUUCCCAAACAGCUUGGGAUCCCUGGAGUUAUAUCAAAGAUCAUCUAAGGUAUCAUCAAAGUAAAGAUAUGGCAAAGACAGGAGCUCAAGCAAGUCCAGUUGUAGUGUUCUCCAUGUUCAUGUUGUUCAUAGUCUUGUUUUUCAGUUUUGUCGUGUCUGAUAAUGGUAAAGAAGUUGAGAUUCUAUUGUCUUUCAAGUCUUCGAUCUAUGACCCUUCUGGUUUCCUCUCAAACUGGGAUUCCUCAGCCACUUUUUGCCAGUGGCACGGCGUCACUUGCAAUAAUAAUCUCUCUCAUGUCGACAAACUGGAUCUUUCUGCUAAAAACUUAACUGGUAAAUUAGUUUCCUCCUCGAUUUUCCAUUUGCCUUUUAUUCAAACUUUGAACAUCUCCAACAAUCAGUUUUACGGUGAAAUUCCCGAGGAUAUAUUUUCUUCUUCAUCUUCUUCACUUCGGUUUCUCAACCUUAGUAACAAUAAUUUCACCGGUCAAAUACCAAGCGGUUCCAUUCCUGGUCUCGAGGUAUUGGAUCUUUCAAACAAUAUGCUUUCCGGGAAAAUCCCACCAGAAAUCGGAUCGUUUUAUAGUCUAAAAUUUCUUGAUCUGGGUGGGAAUGUUUUGGUUGGGGAAAUUCCAGUCUCGAUAACAAACAUCACCAGUUUGCAGUUCUUGACUUUGGCUUCAAAUCAAUUAGUCGGCCCCAUUCCACAUGGAUUAAGCAAAAUGAAGAGCUUGGAGUGGAUAUACGUUGGCUACAACAAUCUGUCGGGUCAAAUUCCUGAAGAAAUUGGUAUGUUGACUUCCUUGAAUCAUCUUGAUCUUGUCUACAACAAUCUCACCGGUGAAAUCCCAUCAUCCCUGGGGAAUCUCAGCGACCUUCAGUAUCUUUUCCUUUACCAAAACAAGCUUACAGGUUCGAUUCCAGACUCCAUUUUUGGACUCAAAAAGCUGGUUUCUCUCGAUCUUAGUGAUAAUUCAUUAUCUGGUGAGAUCUCUGAACUCGUAAUUCACUUACAAAACUUGGAGAUUCUUCAUCUUUUCUGCAACAUCUUUACGGGUAAAAUCCCCAAGGCUUUAACCUCUUUGCCUCGUCUUCAAGUCCUUCAGCUUUGGUCCAACAGAUUGUCAGGUGAGAUUCCAGAAAGUCUUGGAAGGAAUAAUAAUCUCACGAUUCUCGACCUCUCAACAAAUAAUCUCACGGGUCGGAUACCAGAUGGACUUUGCAGUUCGAGUCGGCUUUUUAAGCUCAUUCUUUUCUCAAAUUCGCUUGAAGGUGCCAUUCCAAAGAAUUUGAGCACUUGCACGAGUUUGCAGCGAGUAAGGCUUCAAAACAAUCGUCUGUCAGGCGAGUUAUCCUCGGAGUUCACGAAGCUGCCUCUCGUCUACUUCUUGGAUGUCUCGAACAACGAUCUCUCCGGCAACAUUGGAGACCAAGAAUGGGACAUGCCGGCGCUUGAAAUGUUGAGUUUGGCAGGAAACAGGUUUUCCGGAAGGUUGCCUAACUCAUUCGGGAGCCAAAAGAUUGAGGACCUGGACUUGUCAGGGAACGGAUUUUCAGGUACAAUUCCACGUAGUUUCGGAAGUUUAACGGAGCUCAUGCAAUUCAGCCUAUCUGCAAACAAGCUAAUCGGUGAAAUCCCCGAGGAAUUAUCUUCAUGCAAGAAGCUCGUGAGUCUAGACUUGAGCCAUAACCAACUCAGUGGCCAAAUUCCAUCAGGUUUCGCUGAAAUGCCAGUUCUUAGUCAGCUUGACUUGUCGGACAAUCAAUUAUCUGGUGAAGUUCCACCGCAGUUGGGGAAGAUGGAAUCACUGAUUCAGGUGAAUGUUUCUCACAACCAUUUACAUGGUAGUUUACCAUCUACCGGGGCCUUUCUCGCUAUAAAUUCAAGUGCAGUUUCCGGUAAUGAUCUUUGUGGUGGAGCUGAAACGAGCGGUUUACCACCAUGCAAGAAGGUUAAGAAUCUGAAUUGGUGGUUCUAUGUUGCUUGCUCGCUCGUUGCUUUAGUUUUGCUUGCGUUUGCUGCUUUUGGCUUCAUAUUCAUUCGAAAAAGAAACAAUUUGGAGCUGAAGAGAGUGGAAAACGAAGAUGGAAUCUGGGAAUUACAGUUCUUUGAUUCCAACGUUUCAAAGUCAGUAACAGUCGAUGAUAUUACACUCUCUGCAAAACAAGUAAAUGGUAUUUGCAGAGGCAAUAAAUCGUCUGCAAAUGAUUUCCAAUUCGUGGUGAAAGAAAUGAACGACGUCAACUCAAUUCCAUCGAGUUUUUGGUCUGAAAUCAAACAACUCGGCAAGCUUCAGCAUCCAAAUCUUGUUAAUCUGAUCGGAACAUGCCGGUCGGACAAGAAUGCAUAUUUGGUUUACGAGUACAUAAAAGGGAAACUUUUAAGUGAAAUCCUUCACGAAUUAACCUGGGAAAGACGGCGUAAAAUCGCCAUGGGGAUUGCCAAAGCUCUUAAGUUUUUGCAUUCUUACUGUUCACCAAGUAUAAUUGUGGGAGACAUGUCGCCGGAGAGAGUUAUCGUCGACGGAAAAGAUGAACCUCGCCUACGAUUAAGCCUUCCCGGGCUACUUUCAACGGAAAACAAAGCCUUCAUUUCUUCGGCGUACGUUGCCCCAGGUACGUGAACAAUAAUAAUACAUAAUAGUAUAGACUUUUUUUUUUAAUUGAAAAUUUCCCUGUUUAACUGUGAGAAUAAUAGUGCAAUGUCAACUUAAUUAUGUAAUCCUGUCGCAUAUGAAAAUUUUUUCUUGGCAAUUUAUAAUUAGUCAAAGCAGAAAUUAUGAGAUAUUAUUAUGUCUGGCUCUUAGAUACUUCAAACAAUAACUUUAAAGCAUUUUAUCAUAAUUUAUUUUAUAAAAGAAUAUAUAUGAAUCUUAAUGGUUAGGUGCUUAGACACUUGAACUUCAACAAGGUUUUACAUAUUAAAGGAAAACAAUUUAUUCAUAUAUUAGAUAUUGAGUUAAUAAUAUUUUUCUACAAAUCCAUGCACGUGCAGGUUGCUAAUGUAUGUAUAUUUAUUUUUAUUUUCUUUUCUCCUAUAAUAUAUUUGGCAGAAACCAGAGAAAGCAAAGAUAUGAGUGAAAAGAGUGAUAUAUAUGGAUUCGGCCUGAUUCUGAUAGAAUUAUUAACGGGGAAAAGCCCUGCGGAUGCUGAAUUUGGAGAUCAGCACCAAAGCAUGGUAGAGUGGGCCCGUUAUUGCUACUCAGAUUGUCAUCUUGAUAUGUGGGUUGAUCCCAUGAUCAGGCCAGGCCAUGCAUCCGACGUCAACCACAACCAGAUCGUCGAAACCUUGAACCUAGCUCUCCAUUGCACCGCGGGUGACCCCACCGCUCGCCCCUCCGCAACCGAUGUAUCCAAAACUCUACAGUCUGCUUUCAGAAUAACUUCCUGUGUUUCAACCCUAAAGCUCUCUUCAUCUGUUUAGGCUUCUUUAUAAUUAUAUAUUAUAUAUUAUAUAUAGCAUGAUUUUGUUCAGAAUUUUUGUUUUUUGGGUUAAUUUCCUUUUUGGUUUCAUGGUUUCUAGUUGUAAGUUAUUAAAAUGAUUGUCGUCGUCACUCAAAUGUUCUGUUUGAUGGUAUGCUAAAUACAUACUAUUGAGUGUAAAAAUGUAGAUAAAUCAAACGCAAUUAUAUAUGAAUUACAAUUUUUGUUUCUUCACAGAUUGUAGAGUAUAAAUAUAUAUAUAUCUUUGGAGGUCUUCUAUAUGCCUCCAUGGCUCAAAGAUUUAAAAAGAAAAACCCAUAGCCUGUAAUAAAUGAAGUAAUUAUCAAUGUUAAAUCUAGUGUUAGAUUUUAAAAAUCUAAUUAUACGAAGGGUUACUAGCUAGUAAGUGGAUAUCCCACUGGCAAACCCACUCUUUGGGGUGAAAAAAAGAUAUUGAAAUCCCAUUUUUUGGAAUGGAACAGAAAACCUGAUAUGCAGAGACCAUUGUUUUCUUUUUUAUCUUCUUUUACAGCUUGUUUUUUAGACAUUGAAAAUGGCAUAUAAGGAUCAGACAGAAUUCACAUGGAUUUGGGACUCAACACCAUGGCCUACUUCCUCCAUUUCCAUUUCCUUUUAUCUUCCCUUAUUCUUGUAGUAAUUUUGACCCUUUUCACACUUUUGUUUUGUAAAUAUUAGCCAGCUCAAAACAAAACACUGCUCGCUAAUUUCCUUUCAUGCCCAUGGAAAAAGAAACUAGAGAGUUCAAAACUUGUUCACUUUCUCGUUUGUAAUAACCAAGUUGUUGACUAUAUAUAACGUUGAAGUGGGUUUAUUGGUAUCCUACAAUGACUUGCAAAAGAUCUUCUGCUCUUAUCCAGAGAAGGGCAACGCACGCCUUGUUUGUUCUUUUUCUGCUCCCAUUAUAUAAAAAUAUUGUUUAAUAUAAGACAUGCUUGGCUGCUUGUUUACACCAAAAGUCUAAAGUUAGAUCACAAAGGGAAUUGGGGCCUUCUUCCCUAUAGCCUUACAGAUCGAUUGAUUGAGAAAAUGGAGUUUCCACAAUCUAUAAAUGUUUGACCCUUUUUAGAGUUUGGUUUGCAUGUGAAAAAUUUUGCUUUCAACGGCAGUGAAAAGGCUUGGUUUCACCACGCGCGCCCAGAAGCUAUCGAUUAGGUCAAACAGCUAGAAAACAGGGACAUUGCUCAUGCUUCAAUGGUGGACCACUGUCUGUACUAAAUUCCUGAUGUCUUGAUGAUGAUAUUGUUUGGCUUAUUGUCGGAACACUCUUUUGGAAUUGAAAAAAAAAGGCCAAAAUGGUACUCUUUUAACAAUCCCAUAUAUUCAUAUGUAAAAAAAGGUAGCUUGAGGCUUGAGCCAUUGAGGUAUAAAGGCAAACUGGUAUAAAAUGACUGCCUUUUUUUCUCUUCACACAUGACAGACAAUGAUCAAAAGGGUUUUAAUAUUUCAAUAUCUGGUUUACGAUGAAGUAAGAAAAAAAAAAUCUUACAGGGGAUUGGAAUCCUUGGUUAUAAGGAUUUUUUAAAAUUUUACAGCAAUUGAUUGUUUGAUCUUUUUAAUGAGAUGGGGCUCAUUUCUUUUUUCUGACCUUUCUUGUGACAAACUUUUGCCUUCAAAGUGGCAAUGAUGAUGUUGAAGUUUUUUAUUUUUAUUUAUUUUAUUUUUUAUCUUUGUUGUUUUUCACUUCCAUUCUCUGUGAGUAAUGAUAGCAUUGACAAAACCCUUUUUUUUUUCUUUUUAUCUUUUAGCCAAUCAGAACUAUCAUGGGGGAGAUCGGAGCUCACAUUGUUGGAAGAUUCCAUCGCUAAAAGAUCAAACUUUAGGCUUUAAGCAUUAAAAAUAAAAAAAACUUUGUGUGAUGUUUCAUGGAGCAAACCAGCUCAAUUUUGCUGGCAGAGUUUGUUUUUUCGUAACGUUGUUUAUCUCAAAAGCUUCAAGAUAUCAAUUAUGGUUUUUUUCUUUCUUGGAGACCAUGCAAAAAAGUCUCUUCGAUCGGCUGCUUUCUUCUAUUAAGAAAAAGCUCCUUUUCUCUUCUCCAAAAACUUAUUUUCCUUUCUUUGAUUCAAUGGGGCAUAGCUGGUGAUCUUCUCUUUCAAAUUAUUUUCCGUUUAGAUUUCAAAAUUCCAAAAGUUUUUCUUUUUUGCACAUCACAAGAAGGGAAAGUUUUUACAUAUCUUAACAACAACCCACUUAGCAACAUCUAUGGAGUUCUUGAUAUAGGAGAAAUGAAAAAGUGGAAUGAUUUUUGCAGUUUCAAUUUGACCAAUUAUUAGCAAUAAAGGGUUUUUUCUUUUUUAUUUAAAACCCGGUUUUGCUGACAUUUUUGUUAUAUCAUGCUUAGCCAAGGCCAGCUUCCAUUAGCUUUUUUUAUCAAGGGCUUAAAUCACAGCCAUUGAGUUAUAUAAAUGGAAGACCACCUUUUUAUAAUUGGAGAAACUACUGUUUCUAACAGUUAUGAAUCAUUUCAAAUUUUUCUAACAUAAUGUCAAAAUUAUUCAUCAAAAAGGUUAUUAAUCUGUUUUUAAGACUGUCUCAUAACUUUAUUAUCCCACAAGCCUUUUCUUCCUCAUAGAUUCCGGUGUAGGAUCAACCACAUCAAAUCAGUCAACUAACUGAUAAAUGAUUUGUGUUGAUAUUUCGAAUUCAAACUUGCACAGUUUCUUUCUGUUAUAUUAAAAAACCCUAGUCCCUGCAAGUUCUUAAAACAUCAUUUUCAUUCAUAUGUAACAUUCCUAAGACUGCUAUAUAUCUAUAGAUAGUUUAUCAUGGGCUUGAAGUACUAUUUAUCACUAGUCAUGUUAAUUUGUUAACUAAUUAUUGAAGUUUUACUAUAAAACAAAUGGAACAUGGUGUAACACUGCAACCAAUAACAUCAAGAAAUGGGUUUUGAAUGAUUCAAUAGAGUAGGUACUGUAGAUGUACUUCAUAGAUAUAAGGUUCAAGUUUUAUCCAUGAAUAAAAAUAAUCUUGAAAUGAUCAUUAGUGGAUGAAGGUGAUGAAAGAUUACAAGGAUUGACAUUGACUCAAGAUGUGAAAGAAAUUUAGACUAAUCAUGAUACUGCAUAUCAGUCUAUAAACAUGGAAAAAUGAUGUUAAUGGUCAAAUAUGGUGGAAGGAUAUGGAAGAUUUGAUAAUCAUAUUAUUAUUUUUUAGUGGAAGUCUUUAGCGAAGCGCAUUGUAAGUUAGGAGGAUGACAAAUUCUGUUUUCCAAGUGUACAAUAAAGGGGGAAAAGAAAAGAAUAAAGGGUGAAACUCAGUAUUGAAUCUGAAGCAAAAGUAAGAAUAGAGAUAACUUAAUCAUGGUGGGGUUGAGAAUUCCUUAUCUGAUUUUACACAUUUCAAGAACUUUUUUUGUUCAUCCAGCAAUAGCAGAUUUGACUGAUAUGUUUGGCCAUUUAAGGGAUAUAAAAUCAAAUAUGGAUGAGUAACAUCAUAGGAUCUAUGGCUAGAUUCCAUGUUAGAUGCUCUCAGCUUCUUCUUUGGAAAAAAAACAUUAAUUGUCACAGUGAAAUGACAUGCAUAUCAAUACUUGUCAUGGAUCAAGAAAAUUAUGCCCAAGGAAGAUGAACCAUAGGCAUUGGAUUUGGGGUCUUUUUGUAUUGCAAUUGUGGUAGUUUCACUUUCAUAGGCUCUUAGACAUUGUCUGCAACAGUUCAACAGCUUGAAGAAAAAGAAGUGAGGCAUCAUUGAAGAGUGGGUCACAGGCAAUUGCUAGUAAACCGGCAUUCAACGAAAAGACAUCCAAUGAAACAAGGGGUGGAGCAAAUAUUCUCAAAAGAGAACUCCAUGAUUGAGUUUUAAAUACAAAGAAAGGAGGAAAAGCUGAAAAGUACUGGAAAAAAACAUAAAAAUGGGCAUCGAUAGUGAUCAAUGAAUUAAAGCAUGAAGAAGCAAAAUACAAAAAAAAAAAAAAAAAAAAAAAAAAAAAGGGGUAUAACCAAAAUCAAUGCCCCCUCCCUGGAGAAAUACCAUUAGGUUCAACAUUCUUGUAAUAGUAUCAUUCCAUCAUAAGUUAAAAGGUUUCUACAAACUAAAAAAGACUAAAAUAAAUUGAAAAAGGGAAGUUCUUCUAAUCUAGUUGAUACCUACAUCCUAUCUUCUCUGCUAAUUUUUCAUACAAAAGACCAGUUGACGAACAUGAAGCAGAUACAGUGAGCAUUUUCUUCAUCAUUUACCACUUUCCAAGCCACUGCUCUCUCAUAGGAGAUUGGUCUCCCCAUGCUUGACAAGCAGAUACCACCUUGAAGGCACAUAAAACCCUGCUCAACCAUAACAAUGAUGAAUAGAAUCAUUAUCAACUAUUAUGAUCAACCUUAUAUAUAUUGUUUUCACUUAUCUAUAUCAUACUAAUAUAUAUACCUGCUGCAUUACUUGUGGGAACUCUGCAAAUAGGGCUUUUCGUCCAUUGUCAUCGAAAAUCUUCUCCAAACUUAUGUCCUGAAGUGCUACCAAGGUUGUUUCAAGCAUGUCCAGUCCUGCUUGAUUAGCAAAUGUGAAAACUGGUAGUGCCUGCAUAUAUUACCAAGCAGGUUAUGUUUAAUAUAAAGCAAGGUGGGGGUAAUAACGGAAUGAUGAGGAAACAAUUAUUUUAGUUAAUUUUCUGUAAUUGUAGCUCACUAAAGCACAUGAGCAGUUAGGAAGAUUGUGAAAAGUAUCGUUCUGUUAUCAACAAGACAAUUGCCAGACUACCUUCAAAGAGCAGCAUAGAACUGCAUCAGUGUUAUGCCAAAGCGUUUUUAGAAUGGAUUCACUUCCUUCGUAUUCAAGCAGCUCCACUCCUAGAUAACACCUGCAAAGAGAUGAACAAUCCGAAAAUAUUGAUUAGCCUGAGUCUAGAAUGACAUGAUAGAUAUUAACAACCAAGAAUUCGGUUCACAAUUAUGAGAAAUGGGGAUGAAAAUGAAUUGAUUGACACACCUAUAGCUCUGACAAAUCCAACGAGCAAGUGUCUGUGCUUCAGGAGUACCAGGAGGUGUUCGAAAACCAGCAUGAGAGCCGAAGUUGGAGGGAGAGAGUGCCAAUGCCACCCUUUGAACCGAGGCAAUGAUACUACGGACAUACUGUCGAGCCAUGGUUGCCACAUUUUCUUGAAGGUGGAUCUCAUAUACAAACUGGAAUGCUAUUGUCAUCACAGACUUUGUGCUUCCAUUACGACCAGAGUUAUCACCGGUUGAUCUGUUUCCAGCAGCUCCAACUUCAAGAGUAGAGGCAAGGUCAAGUGUACGAUUUGGACUGGAUGCAUCCUACAUUACAUUUAAAGUCGUUUAGUAAGAAACUAAAGCGAGAAAAGACAAUAAAGACAGAAUUUUUGAUAAUAUCAUGCAUGAUAAACACUUACCAUUCCAGAAUCAAGAGGGAUGAUGCGGAAACCAGAAGGAAUAAUAGGUGCAUCAUCAGAGAAUGAAGCAUCAAUGGGGGCAAAGGUGAGUUGAGCACAAGUCCCAACUGCAUUCUCAUCAACUCCACUACAAAGCUGACAGAAUCACAGAGGAAAGAGAUUAUAUAUUGCAAGAAAUGAGAACAAAACAUUUUCCCAUGCCAUAAAAUAAAGGAAUUGUGUUGGUGAAAACUCAAGUACCUGCAAGAGGAAGAUAUCACCAGGCAUGAUCAUGUCUUCUCGAUAAUGACCCAUAUUUUCAAGCUUAAUGACCUCCAUGAACUACAACAGAAAGUGAACAAUCUUUUAGGAUACCUUGUGCCUAUUGAUCCCCAAGGAUUAUACAGUAAUUGCCAAAUUACUUACCUCUUCAUGCUCAAUAGUAUGAGCUAGUGGAAGAAUGACCUGACCCCCAAAACUUCCACCUCGAGCUACUGGCAAACCACAGGGACCAGCUUUGACAGCAGCAGCAGAGUAAGCAUCAAUACCACUGUCUGCCCACUCUGAUCGAUGUUCUCGCAGGAAUCUGAGUAGUAUGGCUGGAGGCACAUUCUACAAAUAAAACAAAAGCACAGAUUCAUGAAAAUGAAACAAGUAUUCUGUUCAUUGAGUCCUCUAAAUCUUCAAUGAAUCUUAUUAUACCAAUGGCUUGUUAUAUCAAUGAAUGUUUAUCUUGUGGUCAUGUGAUAACAAAAUUGGGAAGGGAAAACAGUUUUGUUUUGUUUCAUGUCUAUAGAUCUUAAGCUGUUAUUGACAUGCUUUCAACACAUUUAGAAGCUUACCUGGAGUAACAUGGAUGCUUUGGCACAUAGAAUUGCAUUGCCCAUUGAAGGAAAUCCAUUACCGUAAGAAAGAUUUAUGCCCAUCAUCUUGCUAGGAGAUGAGUUCACAAGGAGGGUAACAUCAUCAACACCGUCACUUUCCAACAUGGACCAUCCUUCAUCAGCAAACCCAUUAACAGCCUCAUUAAAUCCCCUGGACAAUGCAAUAUGUUAGUUUCCCAUCUAUCAAGAAUCAAUCUACUACUGCACAAAAAUAUGUGAAUUCUGAAUAGUUGGAUGAACAUACUUGUUCAAUUUCUGACUAAGUGCACGCAGGGCUGCAGGUCUUCUCCCCCAACCAGUAACAUUUGGCUGAGAUAUUUCUUGUGAAAUCUGCCUCAAAUGACGCAAGGCCUGCACAAUAUACAAGUUGAUGUCUAGACAGUUUUGUAGAAGCAAAUUAGAUAUAAUACCACCGAGCAUAGAUGCAAGGAAUAUAUCUUACCGCCAUUGUCGUCUUUUGAGCAAGCAAUGUUGAGGACUCGUAAAGUGGGCGCAACACUUCGGGAACACUCCAAGGCUACAAAUAAGCAAGUUGAACAUUGAAACUAUUGCCUCUUGCAGGGGAAAAAAGUAAAGUGUGCAUGUUUAACAAUAGAAGCAAGGUGAUAUACAUACCUCCAAAUCCAUGUGAUCAACUAUGUGAAUGAUGGAUCCUCCCCCUUCACAAGGUCUAAUCAGAUAACCACUAGGCAAUAAUUCUGCUCUCACGAAAUUUGCAGCUGGCGGCAUACUUGGACCAUUCUGAGUGUUGUUAAGUGAUCUUUCACAUACCUAGCAGCAUAUCAUAAUUAUAACAAUCAGAAUAUAAAAAAAUUUUCUGAAAAGAUUAAGUCAAAAGGAAUAGCAAAAGCUCCAUGGUUAACAUGUAUACCACAAGACUACCGUCCUCCAUAACAGAUGUAUAACGCAGCAACCAAAAGUCACGAGCUGGUGCCAGUGUUGUUGGGGCAUAGAGCUGAAAGAAAGCAACAGGAAUUUAGAACUUUUUACCAGAAGCAAUUGCACCAUUAAUUCCAAAUAUUGCAGAUCAAAAGGAAGAGAAAUGGGAUCUUAAUUAGCUUACCUGCAUAUAAAGCAGUUCAAUGGUUCCACCAUUUCCAGUGGACAACACGUUUAUAACAUCCACAGCUCGGCAAUCACGAUACCAUGAAGGCCGAUCUUUAAGGAUUUCAGCGACCUACAUGAAAAAGGAAACAUAUAUUGAUCAGUCAAUUCUUCUCCAAAUUUGAGCCAAGAAACGUCUUUUCAGUAGAAAGCAAAAAUGAACUUACUCUUGUAGGAUCUAGUCCCACAAGUCCGCAUGCACGUGCUGCCACACCACUGCGACCAUGAGAAAUAGCAACGAUUCCAAUAGAAUCCGGACCAGGCUGCACAGGUAAGAAAGAUAUUAGCAGUAGCCAGUAGGUAAAAUUGGCGCGGGCAUUUGGAGUUAAGAUUACUAUUCAUCAAACAAGAAGUUUUAACAAGGCUAGCUCUUUUUCUUAACUAGCAUAAUGAUAUCGAUUACUAUUUAAUUCAAGUUAUGUUCUACAAAGGGAGUAAAAAACAAGAGAUCCAUUUGAGAAUAUCAUAUGCAUGUUUGAGUCCCAAGGUACAAUCUACCUGGAGUCUGUAUGUAAUGAUUUAAAAGAAAGAUAACAGCAUGCUAUUACCUAACAAUUGGUUCUCCAGUUUUAUCUUUAUCAGUAUUAAUUCAUUAUUUAAAAAAAUCCAUAGAUUAAAAAAUUCUAAAGGUUAAAAGAAAAAGAAAAUCCAACUCAUAUUGGAAACAGGGAAAUAUUAGUAACCAAUAGAAAAAUGGGAAAGUGGGGUUGUCCUCGAUAUUGACAUAACAAAUAUGGGUUAGGAUGUUGCUUAGAAGAUUAGCAAGAUUUUAUGCUUUGUUAUAUAAAUAAGAAUUUAUCAAUAAUGACAAUGAAUAAUGGACUACAUUAAUAUAGUUUAAUAGUAUUUUACAAAGAAUAAAAGAAUGAUGACAAUAGAGAGAGAGUUACCUUCAUCCCAGGCAUUUGGACCCACUCGACAGCAGUUCCAGUGGCCUUUGAAAGAAACUCUGUUAAAGUUUCCUCUGCAAUGGACAAAAGUCUGGAAUGCAAAAACAAAAGCACAUAAGGCGCACUAGCAAUUAUACAGCAACAAAACAAAGAUUCAAUUUCAUAGAGAAACGAGGAAUGAAAGGGACAUAACAAUGGGAGUGUAUAACAGUGACAAAAUUUCCCACUACUACUAACCCUGCAGGGCUGGCAUCCCUUGGCGGAUGCUGAGGAGUCAAAUGGUGUUGACCGCUCGUCACUACUGAUUCACAACUUGUAUCCGUGGUGGCUAAAGUCGUCUGCAACCACAACAACAACCAAAAAAAAAACCACUGCAAUUAACAAAAAUUCCCAUAUUUGAAAGCAAACCAAACACUUUCAGGCAAAGGGUUCAAAAAAAAUUAUAAUAUGAUUGUAUUGUAAAGUCCUCUUUUUUUUUUUUCUUUAAAAAUAUGAAACGUGAAAAGGAAGAUGAAGUUCUUACAUUUUGAGUCUGUUGGCGGAAAUAGCUGUUUUCAUAAACAAGCUGUGAAACUUGCUUUUGUAACCUAUCAUUCUCCUCCAUCAACAGUUUAUUCAUAGCUGUCAACUUCCUAUUCACAGCUUGGAGGCGUGAUGCUUCUUUUCGUUGUUUUUCUCUACAUCUGUGAUUAAAAACAAACAAAAAUUCAACAACCACAUAAAAUCAUCAAAAAAUGAAUUAAGUUACCGAAUUACUAUAUGUUUGAAAGGUGAAACAACGUAUGGAAGAUUUGGAACAUUUAUGUUUGUUUGUACCUGCGAUUUUGGAACCAAACUUUAAUCUGUUUGGGCUCGAUGUUGGAGAGGAUGGGGCACUCACGAAUGAGUUGUUGACGACGCAUGGAGCUAGGCUUAGGACACUCAUGGUAGAGACGUUCUAAAGCUUCGACUUGCUCGGGCGUAUACCUCACAUACUUGCCAUUAUCCAUAGCUAUCUUGGUCCCUUCUUUGCAGGAUGAGGUCACCGCCAUCAUCACGUCUACAAUCCAUCAAAACCAACAACAAUUUUCAGUAAAAAAAUAAUAAUAGCAUUCAUUUUCAAAAAAGUAUACGUGAAAAAACAUAUGAAGUAAUGAAUAUAUCACACCGUUCUCUUUUCCGGGAACUACGAAAACACAAACGGGAUCACCGGCGAGGUCUCAAAGAUCCAUUUAUCAAAUUCUCAAACAAACAAACAAAAAAGAAACUAACAAAUUCUGAGCUUUGGGUAGCAGUAACACUAUAUAGAAACGAAGGAAGGUGUUCGUCUAUGGAAUAAAGAGAAUUAAACAAAACAGCUGUUGCUAUCACUGUUGUUGAUGAUGAAGGAAACAAAGAAAGAGGGGGUUUCUCUAUAUGAAGGAAGAGAAUAGAUGGGGAGGCUUGUUUAGGGAAAAUAAAGAGAAAAGAGGAAGAGAGAGAGGGAGUGAGUAGUAGAUGAUGGGCAUGGAAUGGUGUUAAAAGGCGAGAGAGAGAGAGAGAGAGAGAGAGAGAGAGAGAGAGAGAGAGAGAGAGAGAGAGCCCCCCUUAAUACCUGACAGAAUAUCAGACUUUGUUUUUUGUUUUCACAUUCUCAAAUCUCAAUCAUACUAAUACUAUUGCUUCUGCUGCUUCCCUAUUUGCCUUGGCUGCUUUUUUUUUGCUUUUUCAAACAAAACUUAAAAAGACCGUCACUUCGGUGUGUGUAAAAUAUAUGUAAUUAAGUGUAAGAAUAUCCAAGGUUGAACUUAAUAAGAUCCAUACUCACAGUUCCAGCGCGUGUUUUUCCUUCUCUUCUUCUUCUUCUAAUCGAAACACAUAUGCUCGUUUGGUUCUAUAUAAAUAUAUGAAGAUUUGAGGGGAAAAUAUAUAUUAACAUAUUAGUUGCUUGUUUUUAUAAUAUUUAUUCUAUGAUGGAAUAUAUUGACAUUAAUUUUAUUGAUUUUUUAAACAAAAUUUUAUUAUAAGAUAAAUAUGAGGAUAAUACGCUCUAACGCACUCAAAUUCACGUCCUCUUGUAUUGAUAAUAAUACCAUAUCAAUCGAGUUAAAGACUGAAUAGACUAAUUUUAUUGAUUUUUAAUGUUGUUGCUCCUUGCCUAACUCAUAUUUUAUCCAUUGGAUGAGAACUUUUAUUCACCCUGUAAUAUUUUCUCACGAUUCUAUUUACAUUAAAUUUCCAAGAGUAUACCAUUUAUGUAGAUUAUAACAAAAUUCAAAUAUUUAAAGAAAUAAUAAUAAUAAUAAUAAUGAAGGUAUGAAUGCAUAUGUUGAGAAUAAAGAGAAGAAAAAAUUAUGGAAGAGUUUGCAUGCGGCCUCGGUUUCUCAAAUCACACCACCUUUCCUCUCUCUUCAUCAUCAUCAUCUCUCUUAACUCCCUUUUAAUAUUCUCAUAUAAUUCAUGAUAUAUUGUGCCUUAGUAUUAUAUAUAUAUAUAUUCCUAGGAUGCUAUUUAAAAAUUUACCCAACAGUGUUUUUCAAAUAUAAAUUUUAUUUUAUUUUAUUUAAAAAAAAUAGUUCCAAGUAUGAACACGAUGAUGAUAAUAGAGAAGCAGUCUUAAUUAGUCGGCAAAAGGAAAACUUAUACGUUAUCAGCAAAAGAAGAAAGGUUGAAUUUUAGACUUAAUUUUUUCGAAGAAUUGGCAAUGGUUCUAUAGCUAUUGUUUGAAAGAGUAAACGAGUCAAUGCCACUUAAUGAAAAAUAGGCUCAGUCAAUUAAUGAUGAACGACCAAUGCACAUCAAAUUAUUCAAAAUAUGAAUAAAAUAAUAAUAAAAAGACUGAGGCUUCCAAUUCAUUAAGCAAUGGCAGACCAACUUAAGUGGUGUUUGAUUCUUCGACUACUCGCAUCCUUAAUUAGACUUUAAUCCACUAUCAAAUUUUAGCCUAAAAUACGCGUCUUUACAUUAUUUUUUUUUUAUGAAUUUCAUACACUUAAGUUAAUUUUAAAACUAAAAUGAAUUUAAGUUUCAAUUAAAUUACAAUAGACCAAGUUUGAAUCUAAAGAUAGAAGAGCUUCAUCUUUGAUAGGUUUUUAAGCACUUUUUCUUUUACAAUUAUUGCUAAAAGGGGAGUGAUCGAUGCAAAUCCCAAUGAAAUCAAAUUGGAGGAAAGUUUUUGAAUUUUUGAUCAAUUAGGAGGCUGAAAUCUCCCUGGUUAGUAGGAUUUGGUGCGAGAGAAGGGAAAAGGUCCCAUGGAGUAGCUCAUUUUGUAUACCAAAGCAUUCUGUGGAUCGACUUCCUACAAAACCAAGGCUUAUUCAGAGAGGGAUGAAUAUUGUGGUUUGAGGAGCAGGAAACUAGGGAUCAUAAUUUGUUCUUUGGUUGCAGGUUCUGUAAAGGAAUUUGGGAGCUUUGUCAAUUGGCAGCAUGAAUUGAUGUGGGCAAUGAGGAGAUUCAAAGGGAAGGCAUUGAUAACUGUUCUUUACGAGGUUGGAUGGAAUGCUGGAUUAGAAAGGAAUGAAAUAAUAGACAUUUUACAACAGUUGAAAACAAAAUUAAAGAGGUGAUAAGCUUGAGACUGAUGAGUACUAACAUUAAAAGAAAUGAUAGUGUAAAUACUAAUUUGUGUUUAGCUUGGGGUAUACAUGAUAUUGAAUGAAAUUAUUAGUCAUUUCCAGAGUUUCUUAUGUAGCAGAUUUCUGCUUUGGUUAUAAAAUCAUAGGUAUCUAAAGAAAACUUAAAAGAUAAGGUGGCAUGGGCCAUUAAUGGCUUAAUAUCAAAAAGAAAGGGAAAAAAGUGAAAUAAUGUUGUUUAGUGGUCAUUUUUUAUUUCAUAGUGUGCUAUAAUAUGUUAAAGGUUGUUUUAAAAAAAAAAAACAAAGGCCAAAGGGGGCUGGUGAAAGUGUUAACAUACCCCGCCACUCGCGCUUGUUCCAUUGAAAGCGGUGCCACUAAGAAGAUUGCGCUAAAUUUCGACAUUCCAUUUUUUUAGAAUUUUAUGUUUUGAAAAAUUAGAGCAACGAAUAACAGAAUGACAGGUGUAGCACAUGUGAUUGUAACGUGAGGUCGACGCCAGCAGACCAUAUCCUCGGGGUUAGGGGGUGUGGUCCACACGUGGGGGGACCCGAGGUGUGGCCCCCGCACGCGUGAAGACUCCCUUUCGCUUUACAACGUGCUCCUUAGUCCUUGCCACUUACCAGCCUACCCGCCCAGGUGUCACUUAUUUAUUAAUUUUUCGCCCAUGUUUUCUUUUUUCUUUUUUUUUUAAAAAAUUAACUAUUUUUUACUGUUAAAAGACUUACUUAAAAUCAUGUGCCUUUUACUGACGCGCUUCUGAAGGAGAGCAUAAUUCACGCGCAGUAAACAAUAGGAGUGAUACAGAAGUUUUCAGGUCGGCUCCAACUUUUAUAACUUUUGUAAACUUCAAUUUUUUGUAUAAUAAAGAGCAAACAUUAAAUCUAACAAAUAAAGGUGAAAAAACAAUCCCCUUUUUGGUACAUUCAAUUUGAGACAAAUAGUAAUACCACUCAUAAACAUCAAAACUAAGAAGACAAUUAUAUAUAGAAAUCGUUUAAUGUUACAAAUAAAAUUAAGCCCUUUUUUUCACUAUUGCAAAUAUUGCAAAGUGGUCCUAAAAACCCUGUCUUCCAAAUCAAAUUUACAUGUAUCAACUAAACCCCAUUUAGGAAAAGAACAUGUUUUUAUAAAGUUUUCAAUGAAUCAUCGUAAAAAAAGAGUAAGUGAGAAGAUAGAGGAUUUGGUCUUCCAAAUUCCCGUCAUGGCUUCCUGGUUUGUUAAUUCUGUCCCCCGCCCUGCCUAUACAUGAAAUUAGUACAUAUUGGUGAAUAAUGAUAAGAGAAAUAGAAAUAAACAUGUGAGGGUUUAAGAAAUGAGAUCAUGCGGGGCGCAUAACAAAUUAAUUAAGGAGAGAGCACAAAAAUUGAGAGAAAAUUAUAUGUAUAGUGGGAGUAUGUGGCAAGAAAAAUAUAAAAAGGGUAUAAUAAACUUUGUGAAGAAGCAACGCAAAUGCAAAGGCAAGAAGAGGCACGCGAAGCACAAAGUGAAUAGGGAGGAGUGAAAAAGGGGAGCAGUGGGAGGGCCGACAAGCGAAUGGUAGUGGCAGUGGCAGUGCCCACUCAACGGCGCGGAAAUAGAGGAUCUUGGCCCACUCCAUCUGCCUCUUCAUCAUUUCAAUUACCCCUCCCUUUCUUUUUCUUUUUUUACUAGGAUUUAAAUAAACAGGAAUAUUCGGCGGCGCUGCUUUAUGAGAUGCAAAUCUCGUUAUUCAUUUUUCUUUAUCAAAGGCAAGUGGGACAAUGCCUUACUGUUGAGCGAGAGUCGCUAGUGAAGUAGAUUAAUGCUCUAAUCGAAUGCUCCUCAAAUAAUAAACAUUAAUUUUAUAAAGAGAAAGUGUAAUAUGGGUAUUAAAGCCCACUUAGAAACCCAAUAGUCCCGCCAUGAAAGUAUAUAGUAGCCUACUUAAUGUAUGAGCCCAUGAACUUGGCACUUUCAAUGGCCUAAACCAAAACUGCUUUAAUACAGAAUUAUUUUAUUUCACUCGUUAUUAAUAUCAGUACUUCAUUCCCCGUGAUUAUGAAGCACGUUUCCUACCCAUUAGCUAAUUCAUUAUUAUUUUCUAUAUGAGGACAAAUCAAAGCAAAAUUAUAUAUAUAUGUAUUAUGUUCCACAAAACAGGAAGAGUAAUUUCAUAUCCUUCUUUGAUGCCUACACUUAAUAGUCUCUUAACUGUCAAAAUAAACAAAAAUCCACCAAUCGAUUACACUAAGCCAAAAAAGUGAACUAACAAGAAUCUUAGCCUAAGCUUUGUGGGUUAUCCAGGAAGCUCCGUUUAUGCUCUACUUCUCUUUUGGUGUACAUCCAGGAAGUGGAAAUCGAGAAUCCAAGUAACUGCCAGGUAUAUAGCCUUAGAUGAAUAACCUAUUUCCCAUUUACAUAUUCAAGGAGAUGCCGGUCGAGCUCAAAAUGGCGAGCAAGAAGCCGCUGCAACAAGCAAUAUCCAAAAAGAAAACAAUAUAUAAUAACGUCGAACAUGGGGUGUCAACUGAAAAAACAUAAGAUGAAUAUGCAUAUUUCACAAGAUAUUACCAGUAGUAGCAUUAGAAAAUCUAGCAAGUAUCUUUGCAUCUUGUACUAUGCACUGGCAACAAAAACACAUUACCUUAGUUAUAGGAGGUGUAGGUGUUGCUUCAAAAUUGAACUCGGGAAAGCGUGAAACCUCGAUAGCGUUUUCAAAUAGUAUAUAUGUAGGAAGCUGUCCCAUGCUCCCUGUGAGUACAAGACACCCAUGUAAAUGCAUUACAAACAUUCAAAAAUAAGUUCUAAAACUUAAUGAGCUCCCUUUGUAAUUAAUAUAUGUUACUCACCUCCAGGAGAUAUUCCGAAUUUUUCUGCAGCAUUUGGGAAAAGUCCAAGGUCAACUAUUCCGAAUGACAGAUUUUUGUUUGAGUAUCUGAUCAAAGAACAUUGAAUGCUAAUGAAAACUUAUUAAUGACAAUAAACAAGCAAAACAGAUAAUUUUGUAAAUCAACUUACGUGAUUGACAGCUCGGGAAAGCAGCGACUGGCACGUCUGCAGCUGGAUGAAAAUGAGGCACGAAAUUCUACCUGCCGAAAACAUAGUCAUCACCCACCAAAAAAAAGGGGUCUCAAGUUCAUUAAAUAAUAAUUAUAUCGGAAAUUAGUACUCGAAUAUCAGAUUUUGUACCAUCAAAAGAACUUGAUCUACAAAUUUACUUCUUUAAGUUGGGACUUUUGUACCUUCUUCGUAUAUACUUCCAACAUUCCUUUUAAAUUUUUCAAGAAUUAUCACCAAGUCCCAAAAGCAUGCAAUUUUACAAAGAGAACAUCCUAUACGCUAUUAAACAUUAAAUAUUCAAGAAAAAAAAUUGGAACCAACCAGCCAAAAUCUUGAUGUGUUCCCUUCAGUUAGCAAGGCUUCCAAUUGCAAUGGUGUCAGUUUACUUGCAGAACCUAGGAAAAUCAAUUCAUAAGCAAAAGAAACAGCAUUUCUAUCAAAAUGGAAUGUUAGUUGUUCUUCUAACUAUAACGAAAAACUGAAUGGAAUUUCAUUAGUACCAAGCUCUUCGUAAGGAGGUUGCUGUGUUAAAACAUAUAUCACUGUAAAAAAUAAAAAGCAAUGUCAUCAUAAACCUGCAAUUUUUAAAGUUGUACUAACAAUUUGUGCACAAACCAUAGCAUUUACAAAAUUAUCUUAGCAAGAUAAGCAACAAUAAUACCUGAAAACACCACUAAAUACCACAAAGUCAAGUGAUAGUCCAUUAUUAGAGUAAGGGCAAUAAGAAAGAUCUGGGAAAAGAAGGGAAAUUUUAGUUGCAAAUUAUAUCCAAUAAAAUGAAACAAAAAAAACCAAACAAAUGGGUGACCUUACCUUUCCAAAAAACAAUGUAUCAGCAAUGAAAGCCUCCCAUGUUUCUUCUCUUGCCAUCUGCUUGCAAAGCGGGGAAAAAAACCAGUACAUCACACCAUUAAAGAAAACUUUUUUUCAAAGUUACUCGAUUACCUUGUAUGCAAUCAGCAUAAAGAAGGCCAAAACCGCUUGAAUUUCCUAUACCCAAAAUAGGAAAAUUGGAGAUCUGUUAAGGUUAGAAAAAAAUGGGGUUUGG